UUGUAAUGUAACAUAUGCCUUUCUCCAAGAUUAGCUUAUCUUAGACAUUUAUGUCAGGUUGAAGUUGCUGCUUUGUCUACUUGAGAAGAAAAACAGGUUCAAUAUAAAGAUAAGAAGAAUAUUGCUGUCAUGAACCAAGGAUUCUUUUAUUCUAUUGCACAUGGUGGGCUGGUAAGGAUUGAUGGGGGAGUGACUCCAACUUCCUGGGUUUUUUUUUUUAGUACACAACUAAUUUGUGAAGUUAUAAAGGAGAGAAAGUACCUUGUCCUUCAGUAGUAUUUUUGCUACAUUUGGCAUUGAGUUGAUUCAUUUACAAUUUUAGUGUGGCCACUUAUUUAAGAAGGGAGGAGAAAUGGCAGAGACAGCAGUUAGCCUAGUUAUUGAAAAUUUGGUCCAAUUGUUAUUCCAAGAAGUGAGAUUACUCAAGGGUGUCCACGACAAAGUUGCAAGCAUCAAAGAUGAAUUAGAGAUUAUUCAAUCUUUCCUUAAGGAUGCAGAUGCAAGGGUCGAGCAAGAGAAUAUGAGCAAUGUUGAGAAAACAUGGGUGAAACAGAUAAGGGAAGAAGCUUACCACAUUGAAGACAUCAUUGAUGAAUACAUACUUCAUUUAGCAAAAGGUCCUCUUUGGCCAAGGCAACAGUUCCAUUUCCUCCGAAAGUUUUUUCAAUUUACCAAAAAGUUGAAAGCUAAACAUGUCAUAGCCUCCAAAAUUCAAGACAUCAACGUCAAUCUCAAGGAAAAGAGAGAGUUGGCUAUAAAAUAUCGUUUCAACACUAUUGAGCAAGGGGGAUUAAGCAACAAUGCUAGAAGUGUUACAUGGUAUGACCCUCGAGUGGCAUCUCUUUUCAUUGAGGAAGCUGAGGUUGUGGGCAUUGAGUUGCAUAGAGACAAAUUGAUAAACUGGCUGGUAGAAGAACCAUCUAAUCGCACUAUGAUUUCAGUGGUUGGCAUUGGUGGUGUUGGCAAGACCACUCUUGUGAAGAAAGUGUAUGACAACAAGAAAGUGGUAGCACACUUUAAUUGUCGUGCUUGGAUCACUGUGUCUCAAUCAUACAAGAAGGAAGACCUAUUUAGGGACAUGAUAAAGCAGUUCUAUAAGGCAAGAAAGGAGUUUGCUCCUAAAGAAAUUGACAAAAUGGAAGAGAUAAAUCUUAUUACAAUAUUAAGGCAGUAUUUGCAUGAGCAAAGAUAUGUAAUUGUUGCUGAUGAUUUAUGGGAUACAGAUUUUCUAGAAUGUUUAAAAUUUGUCUUACCUAAUAAUGACAAAGGUAGUGGAAUUGUAAUCACAACUCGAAAUGAGGAUGUUGCUCCCUCUCACAAUGAAUCUUCAUCUUGUUAUGUGCACAAGCAACUACCUUUACCGUCAAAUAAAGCUUUGGAAUUGUUCUACAAGAGGGUGUUUCAACAUGAAGAGGACAACUGUCCACAUGAACUAGUUGAGUUGUCGUGCAAAAUAGUUGAGAAAUGUGAAGGUUUGCCACUUGCAAUUGUGGUUAUAGGUGGCCUUUUGUCAAGCAAGGACAAGGUUGUCUCUGAGUGGUGUAAAUUGCAUGAUAGUCUUAGUUUGGAAUUAAACACUAAUUCACGUCUAAGAAGUAUCCCUAAAAUUCUAUCUCUUAGUUAUCAUGCUUUACCCUACUACCUUAAAGCUUGUUUCCUAUAUUUAGGCAUGUUUCCAGAAAAUUACCCCAUAAAUUGUGCAAGACUAAUUCGGCUUUGGAUAGCUGAGGGUUUUGUAAAAGAAAAACAAGGAAUAACAUUGGAAGAACUUGCACAAGGCUACUUGAACCAACUCAUUCAUAGAAGCUUGGUUCAAGUGGCAAGGUUUGAUCAAGUUGGCAAAAAAAGAUUUUGUCGAGUUCAUGAUAUGUUACGUGAGGUCAUUCUUUCAAGAUCAAAUGAGUUGAAUUUUUGCUUAGUCUCAAUUCAGAACUACACAAGUUUUGACAAAAUUGCUCGACGUCUCUCAAUUAUGAACAAUGUAAACACUCCACUGCAGAGUAUUUAUAAUUCUCAAACUCGUUCUGUUCUUAUUUUUGGGAUAGAUGAAGUACCCAAUUCUUUUUUUAUUGCUUGUUUUGCAAGUUUCAAGCUCAUGAGAACAAUGGAUUUUGAAGGUGCUCCAAUUGAUUACAUUCCUAAAGAAGUUGGGAACCUACUACAUCUAAGAUAUUUAAGCCUUAGAGAUACAAAAGUGAAAAUGCUUCCUAAAUCGAUAGGUAAACUGCACUACCUAGAGACUUUGGAUUUGAAACGUUCCCUUGUGUCUGAACUACCACCAGAGAUCAGUAGGCUCCAUAAGCUACAAUAUCUUGCGGCGUACAUUGUAGACAAUAAUGUAGAAUACAAUAUUGACUUUAGACAAGCCGUAAAGAUACCCAGUGGCAUAGGGCGUUUAAAAUCCUUACAAAAGCUUUCUAAGAUUGAAGCCAACAACAAUGCCCUUAUAACAGAAUUGGGGAGUUUGGGACAGUUAAGGAAGUUGGAAAUCACUAAAUUGAAGAGAGAAAAUGGGAUAGCUUUGUGCACCGUGCUAGAGACAAUGUGCCAACUUCAGUCAUUGAGAAUCAGGGCAACAAGUGAGGAAGAAGUUCUUGAAUUACAAUCAAUGUCUUCUCCUCCACCCCUACUACAAACUCUUGGCCUAUUUGGGCGGCUAGAAAAGUUUCCAGAAUGGAUUCUAAAACUCCAUAGUAUAGUUAGAAUUGUUUUGAACUGGUCAAAAUUAAUGGAAGAUUCAUUAAAGGUCCUUCAAGCUCUGCCUAAUUUGAUGCGACUUCAGCUUCACGAUGGAUACAGAGGUGAGCAAUUACAUAUUGAGGGAGGAGGCUUCCAGAAACUCAAGACUCUAGGGCUUCGAAAUUUGAGAGGAUUGAAUAGGUUGAUAAUAGAUGAAGGUGCCCUGCCUCUUCUUCAAAAUCUUGAUAUCGGAGAAUGCCGACAGCUGAAGGAGAUGCCCUCUAGCAUCCACCAUCUGAAAAGCCUAAAAAAUCUGCAAUUGUGGGAAAUGCCGACCGAAUUCGUUCUUAGUCUGCAACCAGAUGAAGGCCCUGAUUUUGGAAAAGUCAAGCAUAUUCCCUCUGUCACUUUCCGAUAUAGGACUCAUGGAGAAUACUUCAAUAGCUACAAGAUUGGUGAUUCAGAAUUGUUGAAGCGUCUAGAAAGGUGAUUCAUGGGGGACCAAAGUGCCCACACCACUUUCAGAAAAUUAUAGGAAAGACAUUUGAGCUAUCAAGUUUUACUAGCUUGUGAAUUACAGUUGGCUUCAAAUGCCAAUGUUUCAAGGAUUUUCAAGUGCUCAACCAACCAGAACAUCAGUAGUUGUUUCUACCCUGCAUUGCUACCUUUGUUAUUGUAUUGUUGUAAUUGUGUUAUCUUUUCAGUAUAAAGCAUACAAACCUCUUGAACUCAUGCUACUCAAAGAGUGAUUUUUAUUUGAAUUGUAUUUGUUGUCAUUAGAGUGGUUUAAGUACGCCAAGUGUUUCAUUGGUAUGCUCACAUGUAAUGGUUUUGAUGUGGCUAAAAAAUCUAUAUAAUGACAUUAGAGUAUAAUUUGUA
RNA transcript from Quercus lobata, 3558 nucleotides. It is a transcript of the gene named disease resistance protein RPM1-like, with no coding region annotated. The record is from RefSeq and is a predicted model, not a curated record. NCBI's taxonomy places the organism in Eukaryota, Viridiplantae, Streptophyta, Magnoliopsida, Fagales, Fagaceae. The transcript is spliced from 4 exons.